This 308-nucleotide ribosomal RNA is filed under the name uncultured bacterium. RNAcentral describes it as "partial 16S ribosomal RNA". It matches the Rfam family "Bacterial small subunit ribosomal RNA", at positions 505 to 809 of the family's 1533-position model. The record is from RNAcentral.
GAGACAGCAGCCGCCGCGGGAAAACGUAGGGUGCAAGCGUUAAUCGGAAUUACUGGGCGUAAAGCGUGCGCAGGCGGUUUUGUAAGACAGAGGUGAAAUCCCCGGGCUCAACCUGGGAACUGCCUUUGUGACUGCAAGGCUAGAGUACGGCAGAGGGGGAUGGAAUUCCGCGUGUAGCAGUGAAAUGCGUAGAUAUGCGGAGGAACACCGAUGGCGAAGGCAAUCCCCUGGGCCUGUACUGACGCUCAUGCACGAAAGCGUGGGGAGCAAACAGGAUUAGAUACCCCAGUAGUCCCUGUCUCUUAUAA